RNAcentral lists this long non-coding RNA (397 nucleotides) under Mustela putorius furo (domestic ferret). RNAcentral describes it as "lncRNA (ENSMPUG00000025672.1)". The record is from RNAcentral. Lineage: Eukaryota; Metazoa; Chordata; Mammalia; Carnivora; Mustelidae.
UUUUCUAUUUUGUCACAGAGUAAGAUUGUUUCCUUGAGGCAAGAAAGAAAGGGGAGAGGUCCUGACAAACAAGAGGUAGCAUUAAGGAAGAGGAGCCUUACAGUAAACACUUAGAACUUCUUCCCUGAACAAGACAACCUUUGAAAGUAAACAUGAAGAAGGCAAAAAAAGACACCAGUGUGGCCCCCUGAGACCCAGAGGAUCCUAUCCUGCUGCUCGCUCUGCAGGCCCAGCAAGUGUGGGCCUGGAGGAUUGUCUCCCCCAUCGGACUGCCCAUGUACUAGAAGCCGAUUGCUUGCUCGCCGCCUGUACUCUGGACACUGUUCUAUGCUAGCUAGCCGAUUUUACAGAUCAGCUUUAGCCUGGACACACCAGGGAAUUUUUUACUCUCUGGUGG